UGCCUCAGUUGACUGGCCUAUUCCCCUCUGCGGUAGCCACACCCUCUGGUGUCUCACCUCGUCAGGCUGCUCGGCCUUGGACCAAAGACUUCAGCUUUUACGAAGAAUAUAAGCUGCGCAGAAACGAACUGCGGCGCCGAAACCUCAACAGACGCAGGGAGCUGGAGAAAACGUUGCCUCAGCCUCUGCUGGCAGAUCUGGUGCGCGAGCGUCGAGAGAAGACCAGACUGAGAGUAGCUAGAUGGAGGGCAAAGAGGAAACUCCAGGCCUGCCUAACCCAGAGUCAGGUUCCUCCUCCAGCCACCGGCGGUGAGACACCUCAGCGAAUCUUCAGCCCAACAGCUUCUUCAGCAACAGCCCCGCCGGCCUCCCCCUUGUACCCUCCUCCCCCUCCCCCCCCUUGCUCCUGCGUGGGUCCAACAUGGCUUCACAUGACCACACUGUGACAUCAUCUUCAUCCUACCAGGUCACCACGGAGCGUCUCACUGACAGACGUACAAACGUUGCAGUGAACUUCACAUGAACACACUCAUGAAGAUCAAAGCAUUCAAAAAUAAAAGUCACAUUUAAAAUAAAACAU
This is a long non-coding RNA of Nematolebias whitei (Rio pearlfish), 580 nucleotides long. RefSeq lists it as uncharacterized. NCBI's taxonomy places the organism in Eukaryota, Metazoa, Chordata, Actinopteri, Cyprinodontiformes, Rivulidae. The transcript is spliced from 3 exons. The record is from RefSeq and is a predicted model, not a curated record.